GCACUUCCCCGCCCCUCCCGCACGCCCCCGCCCCUCUGCUCCUCCCCUUCCCACCGCCCCUCCCUGCCGGCGUAGCUCGUCCCUGCCGCACCAAGGCCGCUCUGCGGGACUGCCGGAGCUCCUCCUCCGCACGCGCAGGGUGUACUCCGCGAACGGCUCGGGCCCGGCGAGCACGACAGAUAGCCGGCGUUGGGCGAGGGCGCGCCCCGUCGCCGUUGCGGAGUAGGGCGUGGCGAGGAACAUCGUCGUCGCGCCUGCCGGAGGAGUGGCGGUGGCUCGCCUCCGCGCGCGUGCUCGUUACUGUAGCCGGGCUGGACCUGCUGAGCGCGAGGGGUCGCGCCUACGUCCGCGCGCUCCGGGCGAGCGGGUGGCGUGGCGAGGCGGAGCUGUACGAGGCCUGGCGAGCACCAUGCCUACUUCCUCAACAAGCCCGACAGCUACAAGGCAGCCAAGGAGAUGGAGGUCGUGGCAGGAGGGGCCAGGCGCAGGGAGAGCACGGCGAGGUCGCCAUGGCUGCCUGGAGGCCGAGCUCCCCAUCUUCAAUACUCCGUCCAUGAGCCAAAUUAAUCCAAUUCCUCGCGGGAAUAGCAGAUCCAUGACCUCCUCCCUCGAUCCCCUAAUCCAGCCGGCCAAAUCCCCCGCCCAAGGACCUCGUUCCGUCGCGCCAUGGUCGCAAGAACAAUCGAUCUCGACCUCUCCGCUUGUUUGACGAGGAACGCAAAGUUGCCGCCGCGGGCGCUUAUGGCCACGCCGACGAAUGUCGCCGCCGCGUUCUUCCUCGUCUCCGGCGAGCUCCGGUCACCAUGUACCCGUGCCAAGUGCAUCACCGCGUGUGCCUCGAAUUUCUGAACACCGUGGUAUGCUUCUUGCUCGCCGGUGAUCUUCGUGGUGCGGGAACAUCGCCGUUUUAGGCCUUUUGACCCUGACGCUUGGAGGCACAGGAGGAAGACAAGCUGCUGCUCGCGGGUGCAUUUAGAAAAUCUGUUGCAUUUCAUCACUUUUUUGGCUAGCUAUUACGUUUUACAUAAUAGCUAAAUUAAAAUUUUAGCUAUUCAAUUUUAAAGAAGCUGUUGGAGAUGCUUUAACAAAUAACAUAUAUGUAAAUUUGAGGUUUAGUUGUUGGUUUUCGAAUGUUUGAAAUUGUAAAAUACCUUAUUGCUAUAUUAUUAUGUGUCUUUGAUGAGUUUUAAACUAGUGUAGUAUGAUAUAUUUGCCGCUAUAAAAAUUUUUAUGUCAA
This is a long non-coding RNA of Panicum virgatum (switchgrass), 1237 nucleotides long. RefSeq lists it as uncharacterized. Lineage: Eukaryota; Viridiplantae; Streptophyta; Magnoliopsida; Poales; Poaceae. The record is from RefSeq and is a predicted model, not a curated record. The transcript is spliced from 2 exons.